RNAcentral lists this ribosomal RNA (398 nucleotides) under Cyclops strenuus lacustris. Its description in RNAcentral is "partial 12S ribosomal RNA". The record is from RNAcentral. Lineage: Eukaryota; Metazoa; Arthropoda; Copepoda; Cyclopoida; Cyclopidae.
UAUGAACCUGGUUUAUAACUUAUUCGAUUAAUUUACAACCUACUAUUAAAUCCUAAAUUUAUUAGCUUUAAGUUACUGCAUUUCAGUCUCCCUUGGUUGGGCUGCAUGUUAUUUGGGAAAAAUUUAAAUGUUAAUUUAUUUUUUAACAACCACACACAAACACUAACCAAGUAAACAAAAUUGAGGGUUAUCAAAUUAAGCACCAAAAUUCUCUAAAAAGAAUAAACCACUGCCAUGUAGUUUAGGUUUAUUUUACUACCUAAAAUUAUUUCAUACCUGGAUUCUACCCCAGUUUUGUAGCUUGAUUUUAAUAUUUUAACCCUUUUUCCCAUAUCCUUAAAACUGAAAAAGAAAGAAAGUUUAAAAUUAUCCAUUAAAUAAAAUUUAAUUUAAAAGUA